AUCAACCAAUCAAUUGUACGACACCCUGGUGCAGACUCUGGCCUCCUUGUACACCUUGCCGGGGCGGCAGACAUAGCCCUGCUCCGGCGCGCAGUGCUCGUCCCGCGAGCACACGCACAUCCCCUCGAGCGCGCACCCGGGCGCGUCCGUCGUGGGCGACCUCCCGCCGAUGCCGAGCAUCAUGUUGCUCCAGUCGCUGGAGAAGAGGCCAUCGGGGUCGUAGGCGUCCUUGACGCGCAGGAAGCGCGGCAGGCCGGAGUACUUGCGCGCGGCACCGACGAAGGCGAGGUUGCGGUUCUUGCCCCAGUGCGGCAGGCCGCCGUACUUGAAGAUGCCCAUCUGCUCGACCUCCUCCAGCACGUCCUCGAACAGGCGCGGCCGCCCGGAGUCACGGCUGCGGUAGUAGGUGAUGUCGAAGUCCACCAUGUCCCCGGACGGUUCCCCGCGCGGCGCGGGCUUGCCCAGAUGCGCCGUGGACGCCUUCACGUAGCGUAUGAGGAUGCCGUCGUAGAGCUCCACGCCGCACAGCGCCCUGGGCUCCAGGUCCCGAAGCCGGCGCACCUCGGCGACGAACAGCACGGCGCGGCGCACGGGGAGGCUGAAGGUGGUCUGGUGGAAGAGGGUGCCGCCCCGCACGCGCGGGUCCCGGGGCACGCCGUCAGCAGCGCAUCCUCGGGCCCCGCCACGCACCCGCCCGACGCCUGCAUCCGGUGCUGCGGCCCCACCACGGGGUACCCCGCGAACAGCCCGCCGCUCCGCCACUGCAGCCCGUACCCGGCCGCCGACAGCGUCGCGUGCGUCACCCGCGACGUCAGGCACUUGCCGCUGCCGUUGUCGGCGCGCUCGAAGAGGUCCUCGGCGAGGCGGGUUGCCUGGAUCGCGAGCGUGGGGGUGGCGCGGAAGCCGAUGAAGUCCAUGGCGCCGUCGUCGGGCGCGCUCAGCGGCAGGCGGUCGUCGAUGCGGUACACCGCCCGCCCAUGCCCUGGGAACCACGCGAUGUCGGCGAACUCGUGCCGGUACCCGAACGUGCCCACCUGCUCCGCCAGGUCGUCGUCGUCCCGCUCGCUGAACGUCACCGAGCGCUUGAACAGAGGUUGUAGCGCCAGCGUCACCUUGCAUCGGGAGUAUAUGAAUGCAUAAUUAUUGGACGAUCAAGUGUUUAUUAUUUGAUAAAUUAAAAACAUGAUCUUGGAAUAUGGACUCAAAUAAAGUCAGGC
RNAcentral lists this unclassified non-coding RNA (1217 nucleotides) under Zea mays. RNAcentral's name for it is "misc RNA Zm00001eb219940". Lineage: Eukaryota; Viridiplantae; Streptophyta; Magnoliopsida; Poales; Poaceae. The record is from RNAcentral.